Molecule: ribosomal RNA, 620 nt
Filed under: Chrysozymaceae sp. KBP 3847
Lineage: Eukaryota; Fungi; Basidiomycota; Microbotryomycetes; Chrysozymaceae
Description: eukaryotic LSU rRNA
Rfam family: Eukaryotic large subunit ribosomal RNA
Source: RNAcentral
UAAGCGGAAGGAAAAGAAACUAACAAGGAUUCCCCUAGUAACGGCGAGUGAAGCGGGAAGAGCUCAAAUUUGUAAUCUGGCACUUUCAGUGUCCGAGUUGUAAUCUCGAGAAGUGUUUUCCGCGCUGGACCGCAUACAAGUCUGUUGGAAUACAGCGUCAUAGUGGUGAGAACCCCGUAACUGAUGCGGAUGCCCAGUGCUCUGUGAUACACUUUCGAAGAGUCGAGUUGUUUGGGAAUGCAGCUCAAAUUGGGUGGUAAAUUCCAUCUAAAGCUAAAUAUUGGCGAGAGACCGAUAGCGAACAAGUACCGUGAGGGAAAGAUGAAAAGCACUUUGGAAAGAGAGUUAACAGUACGUGAAAUUGUUGGAAGGGAAACGCUUGAAGUCAGACUUGCUAUUUGGAAUUCAGCCGCAAGGUGUAUUUUUCAAUUCGCAGGCCAGCAUCAGUUUUCGGGGGUGGAAAAGGGUUUGAGGAACGUAGCAACUCCGGUUGUGUUAUAGCCUCUUGCUGGAUUCAUCUUUGGGGACUGAGGAACGCAGCGCGCUUUUUGCAAGGCUCUCGAGCUUUUCGCGCUUAGGAUGCUGGUGGAAUGGCUUUAAACGACCCGUCUUGAAACACG